Molecule: unclassified non-coding RNA, 257 nt
Filed under: Fusicolla sp.
Lineage: Eukaryota; Fungi; Ascomycota; Sordariomycetes; Hypocreales; Nectriaceae
Description: partial contains 5.8S ribosomal RNA, internal transcribed spacer 2, and large subunit ribosomal RNA
Source: RNAcentral
CGCACAUUGCGCCCAUCAGUACUCUGAUGGGCAUGCCUGUUCGAGCGUCAUUUCAACCCUCAAGCCCCUCGGGGCUUGGUGUUGGGGAUCGGCCCGCCCUCGCGGCGCGCCGGCCCCGAAAUCUAGUGGCGGUCUCGCUGUAGCUUCCUCUGCGUAGUAGCAACACCUCGCACCGGAAAGCAGCGUGGCCACGCCGUUAAACCCCCCACUUCUGAAAGGUUGACCUCGGAUCAGGUAGGAAUACCCGCUGAACUUAA